Molecule: long non-coding RNA, 969 nt
Filed under: Lynx pardinus (Iberian lynx)
Lineage: Eukaryota; Metazoa; Chordata; Mammalia; Carnivora; Felidae
Source: RNAcentral
CAAAGCCGGAGGAAGGUGCCAAGGGUUCAGAACCAAACGGAGAGAUGGAGCCCAAACGUGUGACCAGGGGUACGGUAUAUGGGCUGUUCUGCCAGAUUUAAAGAGUCCAGGAUGGGGCAGACCAGCGAGCCAGCCCCUGGAAGCUGGGGAAGGGGGCCGUCGAGUGGUAAAGCAGGGAAAUGAGGAAAGAAGACAGGUGGUGAGAGACAAUCUCCGGGAGCUGCUCCGGUGGGCUCUGGGGCAGCGAAGGCGUCAGGGUGCCAGCUGACACACAGCAUGGGGAAGGUGAUACAGUUACAGAAAUGGGGAGGUGGGGCCCGGAGGCGGGUUUGGAGGGAUGCACGAGAUGAACACACUGGAUGGGGAAGAUCACAGUAAAUUUUUCCUUCUUGUUCCUUUUCCCUCUUCUCUCCCUGAUUUUAUUUACUAUAGUGAGUCCAUGAAGGAAAGGGGUGUCUAAAUGAGAACAUAAGUCACUUGUACCUCCUUAAAUAGCCUUCUUCCUUCAACCCUUUCCUCGGGUUCACCUCUUCUAUCCCUGACCAAGAUCCGUGCUCCCUAACGGAAACCCACUGUCUUCAUCACCCCUACAGCACUUUUUAGGGAACCCACAGAGGAUUUCAGGUUCAGGGAAACAGCCGGUCCCAUCUUCCCUGCCUAACCUACAGACUCUCGGCACGGUUGUGGUCAGAACAGGAGAGGCUCUGAAGCCAACCCAAGCAUUCCACCGGUGACCCACUCGGGAACGGCAAAUUGAAGGCUACUGGGAGAAGUAGAUAGCAAUGCUCAGAGUGGUGAAAUCUGUCCAAGAUAUCCUGGUAACAGCUGAGCCACAUGAAGAGGAAAGAUGGGGGAAAGCUACAUUCAAGAAACAGAAAUAGGAAGCCCCAGGCCACCUUCAUGGAGAGCCUUACAAAAAUGGCACAGCUUUCAGAUUCUGUGUCUCCCUCUCUCUCUGCCCCUCCCCUG